Long non-coding RNA from Teleopsis dalmanni, 800 nucleotides. RefSeq lists it as uncharacterized. The record is from RefSeq and is a predicted model, not a curated record. Lineage: Eukaryota; Metazoa; Arthropoda; Insecta; Diptera; Diopsidae. The transcript is spliced from 3 exons.
UUGUCAUUUCAUAAGUAUCUGAAAUUGAUAUAGUCACAGUUCCAAAACAAACUCGCGUAAUUAUUUUUAAAUAAAAGUCGUGACUAAUUGCGAGACCGCGGUAUUUCAGCUACUGGAUAUGAAAAUAGCUUAAGACAAUGCAGCCCUUGACUUCUGCUUGACUGUCUUCUGCCUAAUUAUUGAGAAUGAAGCUACUCAGUACUCGGCCGUAUUGAAGAUUAAAGAUGACUGACAUCACAUAGCGAAGCCCUCGUCAUUCGUGCAGCAUAAGGAGUGAGAAGAUUUUAGUCGAUCAAGUGCACAAAGGCUGAACUGGAGCUCAUUAAUAUUUCUAGAUGACCAAAAAUGUUUUAUUCGUUACUGAUUUGUAUGUGCAGAUGCAGCCUUAUACUUAAGUAUACCUGUUAGAGCACAUCACAAAAAAGAGCAAACAAUGCGUUAAUGUUAGAAGCACAUGCUCUUGCAGUAUCGCAGUAUCGCAGUGUAGCGCCCAGUCCUGGUGUGUCAGUUCGGACGCAUAAAUGACGCGCUUUCAGAAAUUCCACGAAAGCUUCGCAUAAUUACUGUUUGCAUUAAGAGAGAGGGAAGUCCCGUAAUAAGGUGUAUAAUUAUGAUGGUGACUCGGUAGUAACGUAAGCAAAAUGUGGAGGAGAGCCGCUGUUUGGUUGUGCAGUGAUUCUCGAUAUGUCACUGACAUGCGAACAGAGAGAGAUUUGUAACAAUUUAAGUUGUCAGUUUGUGGAAUAUACAAUAAGUUUACUUUUAUAUGAAAAUAAUGUGAAAUAAAAAUGAAAAUAAUG